AGAGUUUGAUUCUGGCUCAGGAUGAACGCUGGCGGCGUGCUUAACACAUGCAAGUCGAACGGGGUGCCUUAGAAAGAGGAUUCGUCCAAUUGAUAAGGUUACCUAGUGGCGGACGGGUGAGUAACGCGUGAGUAACCUGCCCUGGAGUGGGGAAUAACAGCUGGAAACAGCUGCUAAUACCGCAUAAUGCAGUUGGGUCGCAUGGCUCUGACUGCCAAAGAUUUAUCGCUCUGGGAUGGACUCGCGUCUGAUUAGCUAGUUGGUGGGGUAACGGCCCACCAAGGCGACGAUCAGUAGCCGGACUGAGAGGUUGGCCGGCCACAUUGGGACUGAGACACGGCCCAGACUCCUACGGGAGGCAGCAGUGGGGAAUAUUGGGCAAUGGGCGCAAGCCUGACCCAGCAACGCCGCGUGAAGGAAGAAGGCUUUCGGGUUGUAAACUUCUUUUGUCAGGGACGAAGCAAGUGACGGUACCUGACGAAUAAGCCACGGCUAACUACGUGCCAGCAGCCGCGGU
Molecule: ribosomal RNA, 517 nt
Filed under: uncultured bacterium
Lineage: Bacteria
Description: bacterial SSU rRNA
Rfam family: Bacterial small subunit ribosomal RNA
Source: RNAcentral